Molecule: transfer RNA, 73 nt
Filed under: Chloroflexota bacterium
Lineage: Bacteria; Bacillati; Chloroflexota
Description: Chloroflexi bacterium (anaerobic digester metagenome) tRNA-Arg
Rfam family: tRNA
About the family: Transfer RNA (tRNA) molecules are approximately 80 nucleotides in length. Their secondary structure includes four short double-helical elements and three loops (D, anti-codon, and T loops).
Source: RNAcentral
GCCCCUGUAGCUCAAUGGAUAGAGCUCCGGACUUCUAAUCCGUAGGUUGUGGGUUCGAAUCCCGCCAGGGGCG